AGUGAACGCUGGCGGCGUGGAUUAGGCAUGCAAGUCGAGCGAUGAUUUCUUUAGAGACAGUCCCUUUACGGGGACAGCCCCUAUGAGAUCAUAGCGGCAAACUGGUGAGUAACAGGUGAGUAAUCUACCUCUAUAUCGGGGAUAGCCUUGCGAAAGCGAGGGUAAUACCUGAUGUGUCCCCUACCACAAAAGUGGUGAGGGAUAAAGGCAUCCGUAAGGAUGCUGUAUAGAGAUGAACUCGUCUCCUAUCAGCUAGUUGGUAGGGUAAUGGCCUACCAAGGCUUUGACGGGUAGCUGGCCUGAGAGGGCGGUCAGCCACAUGGGGACUGAGACACUGCCCCGACUCCUACGGGAGGCUGCAGUCGAGGAUAUUUAGCAAUGGGCGAAAGCCUGACUAUGCGACGCCGCGUGAGGGAUGAAGGUCUUCGGAUUGUAAACCUCUUUCGAUGGGGAAGAAUUCAGACGGUACCCAGAGAAGAAGCCAUGGCUAACUCCGUGCCAGCAGCCGCGGUAAUACGGAGAUGGCAAGCGUUACUCGGAUUUACUGGGUGUAAAGGGCAGGUAGGCGUCUCGAUAAGUUCUUGGUGAAAUCCUUCUGCUUAACAGAAGAACUGCCGAGAAAACUAUCGAGAUUGAGACUAGAAGAGGAGAGUGGAAUUCCCGGUGUAAGGGUGAAAUCUGUAGAUAUCGGGAGGAACACCAGUAGCGAAGGCGACUCUCUGGUCUAGACCUGACGCUGAGCUGCGAAAGCUAGGGGAGCAAACAGAAUUAGAUACUCUGGUAGUCCUAGCCGUAAACGAUGAGCACUAGGUGUUGGCUCUGAAUAAGGGUCAGUGCCGUAAGAUAACUCGUUAAGUGCUCCACCUGGGGACUACGGCCGCAAGGCUAAAACUCAAAGGAAUUGACG
RNAcentral lists this ribosomal RNA (907 nucleotides) under uncultured bacterium. RNAcentral's name for it is "bacterial SSU rRNA". It matches the Rfam family "Bacterial small subunit ribosomal RNA", at positions 28 to 915 of the family's 1533-position model. The record is from RNAcentral.